Molecule: ribosomal RNA, 425 nt
Filed under: uncultured bacterium
Lineage: Bacteria
Description: partial 16S ribosomal RNA
Rfam family: Bacterial small subunit ribosomal RNA
Source: RNAcentral
GUGAGGAAUUUUCCGCAAUGGGCGAAAGCCUGACGCAGCCAUGCCGCGUGAAUGAUGAAGGUCUUAGGAUUGUAAAAUUCUUUCACCGGGGACGAUAAUGACGGUACCCGGAGAAGAAGCUCCGGCUAACUUCGUGCCAGCAGCCGCGGUAAUACGAAGGGGGCUAGCGUUGCUCGGAAUUACUGGGCGUAAAGGGCGCGUAGGCGGACAGCUUAGUCAGAGGUGAAAGCCCAGGGCUCAACCUUGGAAUUGCCUUUGAUACUGGCUGUCUUGAGUUUGGGGGAGGGGAGUGGAACUCCGAGUGUAGAGGUGAAAUUCGUAGAUAUUCGGAAGAACACCAGUGGCGAAGGCGACUCACUGGCCCAAUACUGACGCUGAGGCGCGAAAGCGUGGGGAGCAAACAGGAUUAGAUACCCGGGUAGUCC